Molecule: non-coding RNA, 66 nt
Filed under: Hyalangium minutum
Lineage: Bacteria; Pseudomonadati; Myxococcota; Myxococcia; Myxococcales; Archangiaceae
Description: SAH sequence
Rfam family: SAH (S-adenosyl-L-homocysteine) riboswitch aptamer
Source: Rfam by way of RNAcentral
CCACCUGAGGAGCGCUGCAACGGGGUUCCCCGCCAGGCUCAGGUUCUGCAACGGCGCUCGCUGACU